Long non-coding RNA from Apteryx haastii (Great spotted kiwi), 1005 nucleotides. The record is from Ensembl. Lineage: Eukaryota; Metazoa; Chordata; Aves; Apterygiformes; Apterygidae.
AUGCCGGCAGAGAGGCAGGGUGUGAGCCGUGGUGCAGCGCAGGGCUGGCCGAAGAGGCGGGGGGACCCCGAAAGCUGGCACGGCAGGGAGGGCCUCCACUUGCACCUAACAGAGCUGCAUGGGGCAAGUCUUCCCCUCCUGCUCCAAACCUUUACUCACGUACAGCUCCCUCUCACGCUCUUUCUGCCCCGCGUGCACCUGCUCCUGCUCCUGCUCCGGGCCGACCAGGGCCCAGGCGAUGCYGUGACCCGGCACGGGAAGCUGAAGCCUGCCCCGGCGUCCGGGUUAGCUGCGGCCAGCAGUGGUUGUGCUCCCCACACAGGCUCAUCCUAUCGUUACUCGUCCCUUAAGGAGCAAAGCGAGCCCAGUUUGGGAGUAUUUCGGCUGUCGGAGAGGAGAGCCGCCCCCGUGGCGGUGGGAGUUGGCUGCGCCCCGGGGACGUGGCUGGGAGCAAGGCUUGCUGGUCUUGGGCUCCGUUUAAAGAGGUGUCAGCCGCUCAUUCAGCGUUGUUCUCCAUGGUCCCGUUCCUCCCCUGUUCUCCUAGACUUACAUUCCCUCUUCUCACCGCAGGGUUUUUUUUUCCGUCUUUUCUUUAAGUGCCUUUUUGUGCGGUUGGAGGUGGCAAGAGUAGGAGUCUCAGGAUAUGGCCCUUUGCACUCGCCUCAGACCCGGAGGAGGCUCGGGGGGAGCAGGGCGAGUUGCUGUUGCUGCUUCUCAGCUGUCAGGGCCCUGCACAGGUGGGGAUGCGACUUUGGCAGCGGCAACGUAGGGCUCAAAUCAGCUCAGAGGAAAGAAAACCAAAGAGGUAGCUGUGUGCGAAGGGCUGCUCGGGCAGCAGUGGUGCUUCCUGUGAUCUCCGCAGAGCUCAGCCGAGGGGGCGCUGGGGUGGGGGCGGCGAAGAGCAGCGCUGUCUCCUCGCAAGCAUCCUGUGUAAGUACCAUACCUAGCGGGGAAUACAGCCGUGUUCUCCGGGACCAGUUGGGACAUGCAUCUUCCUUGUGCUGA